This 74-nucleotide microRNA precursor is filed under the name Dasypus novemcinctus (nine-banded armadillo). Its description in RNAcentral is "miRNA (ENSDNOG00000042395.1)". Lineage: Eukaryota; Metazoa; Chordata; Mammalia; Cingulata; Dasypodidae. The record is from RNAcentral.
UCUUGUUAAAAUGCGGAUUCCAACUCCAUAGGUUAAGAGUAGGACCUGAGAUUCUGCAUUUCUAAUAAGCUCCC